This 400-nucleotide ribosomal RNA is filed under the name uncultured bacterium. Its description in RNAcentral is "bacterial SSU rRNA". It matches the Rfam family "Bacterial small subunit ribosomal RNA", at positions 356 to 773 of the family's 1533-position model. The record is from RNAcentral.
GGGGAAUAUUGGACAAUGGGCGCAAGCCUGAUCCAGCCAUGCCGCGUGAGUGAUGAAGGCCCUAGGGUUGUAAAGCUCUUUUACCCGGGAAGAUAAUGACUGUACCGGGAGAAUAAGCCCCGGCUAACUUCGUGCCAGCAGCCGCGGUAAUACGAAGGGGGCUAGCGUUGUUCGGAAUCACUGGGCGUAAAGCGCACGUAGGCGGAUUUUUAAGUCAGGGGUGAAAUCCCGAGGCUCAACCUCGGAACUGCCUUUGAUACUGGAGAUCUUGAGUCCGGAAGAGGUAAGUGGAACUGCGAGUGUAGAGGUGAAAUUCGUAGAUAUUCGCAAGAACACCAGUGGCGAAGGCGGCUUACUGGUCCGGAACUGACGCUGAGGUGCGAAAGCGUGGGGAGCAAAC